AGUCCACAUCGACGGGGAGGUUUGGCACCGCGAUGUCGGCUCAUCACAUCCUGGGGCUGUAGUAGGUCCCAAGGGUUGGGCUGUUCGCCCAUUAAAGUGGUCCGCGAGCUGGGUUCAGAACGUCGUGGGACAGUUCGGUCCCUAUCCGUCGCAGGCGUAGGAAAUUUGAGAAGACCUGUCCUUAGUACGAGAGGACCGGGAUGGACGUACCUCUGGUGUACCAGUUGU
RNAcentral lists this ribosomal RNA (228 nucleotides) under Clostridioides difficile. RNAcentral's name for it is "partial 23S ribosomal RNA". It matches the Rfam family "Bacterial large subunit ribosomal RNA", at positions 2497 to 2724 of the family's 2925-position model. The record is from RNAcentral. Lineage: Bacteria; Bacillati; Bacillota; Clostridia; Peptostreptococcales; Peptostreptococcaceae.